RNAcentral lists this transfer RNA (16 nucleotides) under Pseudopterobryum tenuicuspis. Its description in RNAcentral is "partial tRNA-Phe". The record is from RNAcentral. Lineage: Eukaryota; Viridiplantae; Streptophyta; Bryopsida; Hypnales; Pterobryaceae.
AAAUCCUCGUGUCACC